UACAGAGGGGGCAAGCGUUGUUCGGAAUUACUGGGCGUAAAGGGCGCGUAGGCGGCCUUCUAAGUCGAACGUGAAAUCCCCAGGCUCAACCUGGGAACUGCAUCCGAUACUGGAUGGCUUGAAUUCGGGAGAGGGAUGCAGAAUUCCAGGUGUAGCGGUGAAAUGCGUAGAUAUCUGGAGGAAUACCGGUGGCGAAGGCGGCAUCCUGGACCGACAUUGACGCUGAGGAGCGAAAGCCAGGGGAGCAAACGGG
This 253-nucleotide ribosomal RNA is filed under the name uncultured bacterium. RNAcentral describes it as "partial 16S ribosomal RNA". It matches the Rfam family "Bacterial small subunit ribosomal RNA", at positions 524 to 776 of the family's 1533-position model. The record is from RNAcentral.